This 693-nucleotide ribosomal RNA is filed under the name uncultured bacterium. RNAcentral's name for it is "bacterial SSU rRNA". It matches the Rfam family "Bacterial small subunit ribosomal RNA", at positions 94 to 803 of the family's 1533-position model. The record is from RNAcentral.
AGUGGCGGACGGGUGAGUAACGCGUGGGUAACCUGCCUCACACAGGGGGAUAACAGUUGGAAACGGCUGCUAAUACCGCAUAAGCGCACAGUACCGCAUGGUACAGUGUGAAAAACUCCGGUGGUGUGAGAUGGACCCGCGUCUGAUUAGCUAGUUGGCAGGGCAACGGCCUACCAAGGCGACGAUCAGUAGCCGACCUGAGAGGGUGACCGGCCACAUUGGGACUGAGACACGGCCCAAACUCCUACGGGAGGCAGCAGUGGGGAAUAUUGCACAAUGGGGGAAACCCUGAUGCAGCGACGCCGCGUGAGCGAAGAAGUAUUUCGGUAUGUAAAGCUCUAUCAGCAGGGAAGAAGAAAUGACGGUACCUGACUAAGAAGCACCGGCUAAAUACGUGCCAGCAGCCGCGGUAAUACGUAGGGGGCAAGCGUUAUCCGGAUUUACUGGGUGUAAAGGGAGCGUAGGCGGCGGAGCAAGUCAGAAGUGAAAGCCCGGGGCUCAACCCCGGGACGGCUUUUGAAACUGCCCUGCUUGAUUUCAGGAGAGGUAAGCGGAAUUCCUAGUGUAGCGGUGAAAUGCGUAGAUAUUAGGAGGAACACCAGUGGCGAAGGCGGCUUACUGGACUGACAAUGACGCUGAGGCUCGAAAGCGUGNGGAGCAAACAGGANUAGAUACCCUGGUAGUCCACGCCGU